RNAcentral lists this ribosomal RNA (489 nucleotides) under uncultured bacterium. RNAcentral describes it as "partial 16S ribosomal RNA". It matches the Rfam family "Bacterial small subunit ribosomal RNA", at positions 28 to 507 of the family's 1533-position model. The record is from RNAcentral.
GAUGAACGCUAGCUACAGGCUUAACGCAUGCAAGUCGAGGGGCAGCAUGAACUUAGCUUGCUAAGUUUGAUGGCGACCGGCGCACGGGUGAGUAACACGUAUCCAACCUGCCGAUGACUCGGGGAUAGCCUUUCGAAAGAAAGAUUAAUACCCGAUGGCAUAGUUCUUCCGCAUGGUAGAACUAUUAAAGAAUUUCGGUCAUCGAUGGGGAUGCGUUCCAUUAGGUUGUUGGCGGGGUAACGGCCCACCAAGCCUUCGAUGGAUAGGGGUUCUGAGAGGAAGGUCCCCCACAUUGGAACUGAGACACGGUCCAAACUCCUACGGGAGGCAGCAGUGAGGAAUAUUGGUCAAUGGACGAGAGUCUGAACCAGCCAAGUAGCGUGAAGGAUGACUGCCCUAUGGGUUGUAAACUUCUUUUAUACGGGAAUAAAGUGAGGCACGUGUGCCUUUUUGUAUGUACCGUAUGAAUAAGGAUCGGCUAACUCCGUG